This 252-nucleotide ribosomal RNA is filed under the name uncultured bacterium. RNAcentral describes it as "partial 16S ribosomal RNA". It matches the Rfam family "Bacterial small subunit ribosomal RNA", at positions 57 to 305 of the family's 1533-position model. The record is from RNAcentral.
GCAAGUCGAGCGGUAACAGAGAGAAGCUUGCUUCUUUGCUGACAAGCGGCGGACGGGUGAGUAACGCGUAGGAAUCUACCUAAUAGUGGGGGAUAGCCCAGGGAAACUUGGAUUAAUACCGCAUACGCCCUACGGGGGAAAGCGGGGGAUCUUCGGACCUUGUGCUAUUAGAUGAGCCUGCGUCGGAUUAGCUUGUUGGUAGGGUAAUGGCCUACCAAGGCAACGAUCCGUAGCUGGUCUGAGAGGAUGAUC